This 122-nucleotide ribosomal RNA is filed under the name Cyprinus carpio (common carp). Lineage: Eukaryota; Metazoa; Chordata; Actinopteri; Cypriniformes; Cyprinidae. The record is from RNAcentral.
UCUUACGGCCAUACCACCCUGAGCGCGCCCGAUCUCGUCUGAUCUCGGAAGCUAAGCAGGGUCGGGCCUGGUUAGUACUUGGAUGGGAGACCGCCUGGGAAUACCAGGUGCUGUAAGCUUUA